Camelina sativa (false flax) is the source of this 147-nucleotide non-coding RNA. NCBI's taxonomy places the organism in Eukaryota, Viridiplantae, Streptophyta, Magnoliopsida, Brassicales, Brassicaceae. The record is from RefSeq and is a predicted model, not a curated record.
UUCAGAAAUCAGAACCACCAUAGAUAGUCCUCCUCCGUCUCCGUCUGUUCUCUCAGUCGAUCUAAGGUUCAUGGCUUCUCCCGAGGAGAUUGAUGAUGAUACAUCAGAGAUUCCAUCCCCGCCAAAGAAAACUUACAAGGAUCCCGA